GAUGAACGCUAGCGGCAGGCUUAAUACAUGCAAGUCGUGGGGCGGCAGGUUUGUAGCAAUACAGAUGCUGGCGACCGGCAAACGGGUGCGGAACACGUACAGAACCUUCCUUGAGCGGGGAAUAGCCCAGAGAAAUUUGGAUUAAUACCCCAUAGUAUAAUGAAGUGGCAUCACUUUAUAUUAAAGAUUUAUCACUCGAAGAUGGCUGUGCGGCUGAUUAGGUAGUUGGCGGGGUAAAGCCCACCAAGCCUGCGAUCAGUAACUGGUGUGAGAGCACGACCAGUCACACGGGCACUGAGACACGGGCCCGAUCCUACGGGAGCAGCAGUAAGGAAUAUUGGUCAAUGGA
Molecule: ribosomal RNA, 349 nt
Filed under: uncultured bacterium
Lineage: Bacteria
Description: bacterial SSU rRNA
Rfam family: Bacterial small subunit ribosomal RNA
Source: RNAcentral